RNAcentral lists this long non-coding RNA (208 nucleotides) under Capsicum annuum. RNAcentral's name for it is "long non-coding RNA (CANN_LNC014542)". Lineage: Eukaryota; Viridiplantae; Streptophyta; Magnoliopsida; Solanales; Solanaceae. The record is from RNAcentral.
AAUUAUAUUGAGAGUGUAACUUGAGCUCUUGCUCACUCGCAUGACAUGAAUACUAAAAGAAGGGAAACAUUUCAUAAAACAUCUCGUAGCCUCAUCCAUAAGUGUGGCACACUACACACCCAUGUACAAGACUCUACUAGAAGUAACUUUCAGACUUCAUAGGACUCUAUUGAACCUUAGGCUCUGAUACCAAGUUUGUAACAACCCG